Molecule: long non-coding RNA, 1346 nt
Organism: Mercurialis annua (annual mercury)
Lineage: Eukaryota; Viridiplantae; Streptophyta; Magnoliopsida; Malpighiales; Euphorbiaceae
Exons: 3
Source: RefSeq, a predicted model, not a curated record
AAUUGUGAAGUGAGGAGGUGGCAAGUCUAAGGACUAAAGAGGAACUUAGGCCAUAUAUAUAAAAGCAAGAAAAACAAAUUAAGAAUCAGCAAAACCUCAUUUCUCUAGCUGAAAUGAAGAUCAUCCCGUAUGUUCUUCUUCUCCUAACCCUCAAAACUUCAUUUGGCCAUAUCUUUUUCGUUUCUUAACGGAAUUGAGCGAUUCUCGCGACCACGGAACGAGGAAAGGAUCCUCUAUUUAAUUAUGGCUUCAAUUUGAGGAUGAUCUUGAGUUUAUUUGGAGCAAAGUCAUGGUGAAUUGAUGCUUAAAAUCAUUUGGCCAAGGGACAUCAACAAGAAAAGGUACCUAGAUUCUGGACUUGUCUAGAAGUCCAUUCUUUGAUCGGAAGUAAAUCUUGUCGUGUGCAGUCCAGACUUUCGUAGUUGCUGCAGUAGUGUCUUGCCUGACCAGAGUUGUGGUCUAGUACAACAAUUUGAUACUGUGUCGGUUCUGAUUUGAUGUCUUUGUAGUUAUAUAUGUUUUGUACACGGAAGGUGAAUACCUGUGAUGAUAUGGUUUUGAACAAAAGUAUGUAUCAGGCUAGUACGUACAUGAUACGGAAACAAUAAGCCCAAGUAUUUUGUGUCAAUAAGUUACUAGUGUAUAAACAUGUGUAUAUGUAUAUGCUUCUGCUAUAAUGCCAAUAUAUGAUUGAUGUUUUGAGAAAACGUUUUAGUGAAUUUUAGGCUUGCUACGGGUUUCGGAACUACCAUUCCUAUUACCUAGCGCCGGUCUCGACUCGAGAUUUCGGGUCGUGACAGUUGUGGAGCCCGUCUUCCGUCACGUUGAUUAUUUCCGGCGUGCCUUUUGGAUCCAUUGGUUGUUUGUCUUUCAGGUUCACUCUUUUAGAAGUCAUCUUCUUCAAUGAAUUUUUUUUUGAGUUCAGAAAAGCUCCUUCAAAUUGAAGUUUAGGUAAGCUUUUCCCACAGACAGCACCAAUUGAUGGAGUCUGCCUUCUGAACCGGUGAAUGAGACCUGCAAAACAGGGUAGAAACUAACCAGACGGUGGUUGUCCGAUUAACUCUCCGAUGCUAAAGUCAGUUUGGAGCUUUGAGCAGCGUUUAGAGUAUAUGAAUGUAAUUGUGAUUCUAGGCAUACCUCAUGCUCCUUUUAUAGUAGCCGAAUAUACCUUGUAGAGUCGUAAUAGGUAAGUGAAUCCUACUUUGUAGGGAUCGAGCUACCUUGUAGGGAUUCACCCUGAUUUGUCGUGAUCUACCUUAUUCAGACAUGAGUCCUAUUUAGGAACGUCUUCCUAAAUAGUCUCGUCUUCCUAAGAUAGAGCUUAUCUUUCCAUGUUUGGAGUUUGU